AGAGUUCAUUUCUUCAACAAUUUGAGCCAAGACCUGACGUCUCUAUUUAUCAUAAUGAUAUUGGUCUCAAAACAAGAAUAUCACUAGAAUAUCACUAGAUGAAAGCCCAUUUGUUAAAGAGUUUGAGCCGAGACCUGAUGUCUCCAUUUACCAUAACGAUAUUGGUCUCAAAACAAAAAUAUCACUAGAUGAGAGCCCAUUUGGUAAAGAGUUCGAGUUGAAACCUGAUGUCUCCAUUUACCAUAACCAUAUUGGUCUCAAAACAGAAAAACUGCCAAAUAAGAAUCCAUUUGUUAAAGAGUUUGAGCCGAGACCUGAUGUCUCCAUUUACCAUAAUGAUAUUGGUCUCAAAACAGAAAAGUUGCUAAAUAAGAACCCAUUUGUUAAAGAGUUUGAGCCCAGACCGAAUGUCUCCAUUUACCACAAUAAUAUUGGUCUCAAAAC
This 444-nucleotide long non-coding RNA is filed under the name Manihot esculenta (cassava). RNAcentral describes it as "long non-coding RNA (MESC_LNC005838)". Lineage: Eukaryota; Viridiplantae; Streptophyta; Magnoliopsida; Malpighiales; Euphorbiaceae. The record is from RNAcentral.